CAAGACUUGUAUCACCUGUUAUGCAAAUUAAAAUAUAUCAACAUCUCUCCAAAAUAUAACUAUCAGGAAAGAGACACAAUCUGUAAAAUGACAGAUUUGACUGUUAUUCUGUCAUCAUCAAUGUGAACCGUUUUAAAGGGAGAUUACUCUGUAAAAAUCAACUGUACGUUUAAAUUACGUUCUAUUGUUAGGGGGAAAUUAAGCUUCUCAAUGAUCAAAAUUAG
Molecule: long non-coding RNA, 224 nt
Filed under: Mytilus galloprovincialis (Mediterranean mussel)
Lineage: Eukaryota; Metazoa; Mollusca; Bivalvia; Mytilida; Mytilidae
Source: RNAcentral